Molecule: ribosomal RNA, 460 nt
Filed under: uncultured bacterium
Lineage: Bacteria
Description: partial 16S ribosomal RNA
Rfam family: Bacterial small subunit ribosomal RNA
Source: RNAcentral
CCUACGGGUGGCAGCAGUGAGGAAUAUUGGUCAAUGGACGAGAGUCUGAACCAGCCACGUCGCGUGAAGGAUGACUGCCCUCUGGGUUGUAAACUUCUUUUAUAAAGGAAUAAAACGAGGCACGUGUGCCUUUUUGCAUGUACUUUAUGAAUAAGGAUCGGCUAACUCCGUGCCAGCAGCCGCGGUAAUACGGAGGAUCCGAGCGUUAUACGGAUUUAUUGGGUUUAAAGGGAGAGUAGCUGGGUUGUUAAGUCAGUUGUGAAAGUUUGCGGCUCAACCGUAGAAUUGCAAUUGAUACUGGCAGUCGUGAGUACAGUUGAGGUAGGCGGAAUUCGUGGUGUAGCGGUGAAAUGCGUAGAUAUCACGAAGAACCCCGAUAGCGAAGGCAGCUUACUAAACUGUGACUGACAUUGAUGCUCGAAAGUGUGGGUAUCAAACAGGAUUAGAUACCCUUGUAGUC